RNAcentral lists this ribosomal RNA (446 nucleotides) under uncultured bacterium. RNAcentral's name for it is "partial 16S ribosomal RNA". It matches the Rfam family "Bacterial small subunit ribosomal RNA", at positions 330 to 793 of the family's 1533-position model. The record is from RNAcentral.
ACCAGACUCCUACGGGAGGCAGCAGUGGGGGAUAUUGCACAAUGGGGGGAACCCUGAUGCAGCGACGCCGCGUGGGUGAAGAAGCGCCUCGGCGCGUAAAGCCCUGUCAGCAGGGAAGAAAAUGACGGUACCUGAAGAAGAAGCCCCGGCUAACUACGUGCCAGCAGCCGCGGUAAUACGUAGGGGGCAAGCGUUAUCCGGAUUUACUGGGUGUAAAGGGGGCGCAGACGGCGAUGCAAGCCAGGAGUGAAAGCCCGGGGCCCAACCCCGGGACUGCUCUUGGAACUGCGUGGCUGGAGUGCAGGAGGGGCAGGCGGAAUUCCUGGUGUAGCGGUGAAAUGCGUAGAUAUCAGGAGGAACACCGGCGGCGAAGGCGGCCUGCUGGACCGUGACUGACGUUGAGGCUCGAGAGCGUGGGGAGCAAACAGGAUUAGAUACCCUGGUAC